Molecule: long non-coding RNA, 4846 nt
Organism: Alexandromys fortis (reed vole)
Lineage: Eukaryota; Metazoa; Chordata; Mammalia; Rodentia; Cricetidae
Exons: 3
Source: RefSeq, a predicted model, not a curated record
CGCGCCUGUCCGCUCGGGGUCUGGUGAGGCGGCGGGAGCCAAUAGGAGGAGGGCGGCCCAUAUGACGUACGCACACGCCACCGGGGGGUGGGGCUGGUGCCCGGCACGCGCGCUUCGAGCGAGUGCGCGCAGCACGGGCCGGCAGCAGGGCGGACAGGACGCCGGUCUUAGGGUCCGGCCCUGCCCUGCCCUUCCCUGCAGUGCGCUGCCCGACCUCGUUUGCUGAAAGAAUGCGGACACUGCGGGUCCUCGCCUUCCCCAGGUUCCGUGCGCAAACCCCUCUUAGUGCUCUCAAGACCCGGGAUCCUUAGGGCCGAGCACUUCGUUGGCCAGGUGACAGGUGGUCUGUAGGUUCACAACCCAGUCCGGAGCGCCCCCCCAGCCAAGACCACACCGGCUAAAGCCACAGGGCUUGUGACCAGGCCUGAAAGGGCACCGUGUGACCUUAGGUAGGACGUGUGGUGGCCAGAGAGUAAAACAAAGCCAACCUCCCUAGCAGGCUGUUUCUCAAAGUUCCUGCGGGAGGUCAGUUUCCCAGCGUGACGCAGCACCGGUGUGGGUGGCUUGGCCGCCUUCCUCGCUCACAACACGUCCAUUCCCCUCUAAGCCAUAUUGGCCGUUCUAUGCCUUGUUCAGAAGAACUCGAAGGAGUUUUGACUAAGGAAUGUUGCAAUUUGGGUCUUGGCUUUUUUGCCCUCUGGCCAGUGCAAGCUUGUGAAGGUUGCACGGGCACGCGCGUGUGCACACACACAGUGGGGGGUGGGGGUCAUCAGUUCGGGAGCCCUCUCAACAGCAAAAAGCAGGAGGGGCUGCCUAGCUUCAGUGGAUAGAAGUUGUUAGUGACUGUGAGUCUCUACCGUGGGAUGUGGCAGGUGAGCCUCUACCAGCCAUUAUCGGCUGUAUUCCUUAGAUGUUGAGAAAGCUGCACCUGUGUAAAUACAUACAGCUUUGCCCCUAAGGAACAGACACAUCACUCACAGGAAACUUGGCCCAAGGAACAGUCACGUCAGUAACUUGCAGGAAGCUGGCAUGAUGGGACAGGCUGCAGCUCAGACCCUUCACCCACACCCCAGUACCAUGCAUCUGUCUUGUGGGUCCUGAGUUGUAUUCCAGUCCAUUUUGCUUGUCCUUAUAGAUUUCUCCAAGGGUUCUUCCCCCGCCUCCCUCCAAGGAUUCUUUCUGUUGUUAUAGUCCCUAUGGGCAAGCCUGGAGCUUCUAGUAUUUUGUGCAUUUCUGGGUUGCUUGCCUCUGGAGUGAAGACUUCGAACAGUUGUCUUCAAACAGUUGCUCUGUUACCAGCUAUUAGCUUGGUUGCCUCCUCUGCUUACCCAAGUCAGUACUCACCCCGCCUAACCUGCUGCUUGGCAUCUCAUCUGUACUGGGACAAAACAAGCUGUGGUCCUAAACCAUGAUGGCUGUAGUGGCACACAGACCAAGGUGCCCUGUGGACCAUGAAGGAUACCCACCCUGUGCUCUGGUUCCUGGGGUCCCAUGGAGACUGCCACAGGCUCUAUGGGCUUGUGAGCAAUUUGCCCUCACAGUCAGUGAAUGACGCUUCCAUAGAUAGGGUGAUGGUAGAGGAGAGUUUGGACUAAGGCUUUGGAGAUGCAGCCUGAGUACCAAAAGUGAUAGCCAGUUAUUCUAAGGCCUGCUAGUGUCUCUGUGCAUACUGGAAAUGGAUGAUCAGGGGCCCCCUCUCUGCCCUGAGGAUGAGUGGGGUUGCUAGGGAGAUGCUUUUGAAACAGAGCUCCUGGGUGCGCCACUGUACCAUGUUACCAUAUUAACAUGUACUUCAUGUUAAUCAUUACAGACGUACUGAUUGCUGAGCUCCCAGCUACUGGGGACUCGCCUGGAGACCAUGCAGGCAAGGUGAGCCAGCCACUCCCUUUGUAUCUCUGCAUUCUUUCUGGGAUAAUAGCAAUAAUCACUCUGGCUUGUAUUCUUAAAAUGGAGUAGAUAAGGAGAUAUAUCGGCUACUUUAUUGCAAGCUUACCCCAUGUUCCAUGUUGGCUAUUCAGAAAAUAUAAUCAUGUCUGGAGCUGAGGUAACAACCCAGUCAGUAAAGCGCUUGCUUUACAAGAAUAUGAACCAGCCGGGCGGUGGUGGCACACGCCUUUAAUCCCAGCACUCGGGAGGGAGGCAGAGGCAGGCGGAUCUCUGUGAGUUCGAGACCAGCCUGGUCUACAGAGCUAGUUCCAGGACAGGCUCCAAAGCCACAGAGAAACCCUGUCUCGAAAAACCAAAAAAUAAAAAAAAAAAUGAAAACAAGAAUAUGAACCAGACUAUGACCCCCGCAGAACCCACAUAAAGGGCCACACGUGCAGGAGCACAUGUGGGUAAUCUCACUGCUAGAGACAUAGAGGACCCUUGGACCUUGGUGUCUCGGUGGUGUAGCCAAAAAGUGAGCUCUGAGUUCAGAGAGAAACCGUGUCUAUAAAAAGGUGGAGAACAAUUGAGGAUGACUUCCGAAUCCACCUGUGCUCUUCACGCACAUCAACUUUCAGCCCACCACCCACCACCGAGCAAAAACUGCUGUUACGAUUUCAUACUAGGCCUGGGGGGGAGGGUGGUGGCGCACGCCUUUAAUCCUAGCACUUGGGAGGCAGAGGUAGGCGGAACUCUGUGAGUUCGAGGCCAGCCUGGUCUACAAGAACUAGUUCCAAGACAGCCAGGACUGUUACACAAAGAAACCCUGUCUCAAACAAACAAAAAAGAUUUCAGACCAUGUAUUUCCACAUAUUUUUUCCUAUGCAGAAGUAUAUGUGGCUUUUUCAGUUUUUAUUUUCAAAGUUUAUUGUUUUUAAUGUGUGCAUGUGAAUGUAUGUAUGUAUGUGUUCCACAUGCAUGCAGGUGCUCACAGAGACCUGAAGAGAGUUCAGAAUUCCCUGGAACUAGGAUUAUAGAUGGUUGUGAGCCACCAGGUGGAUGCUGGGAACCAAACCUGAAUCCUCCAGGAGAACAGCAAGUGUUCCUAACCACCAAGUCCUCUCUCCAGCCCCCUUUUUCAUUUCUAAACAUUUAUUGUGUGUGUGUGUGGGGGGGUGUGGCUGGAGGUCAGAGGACAACCUGUGGGCGUUGCUUUUCUCCUUUUGUGUGGGUCCCAGAAGUUAGAGUGCAGGCCUUUACCCCCUGAGCCAUUUUGCCAGCCCCUGUACCACCUUCUGAGUCCUACUGGAGUCAUUCACACACAGCAGAUCCUGUGACCAAGUGACCGUGAGCUUCUUCAAAGCGUGACUUUGGUACCGUGGUUGAAACUUCACAGACAUAAUGCACAGCUUCCUCACUACAGGCCUCACUGUUUUCCUGUACUCAGAAGGUGCAUAGGCUGCCGCAGGGUCACUGCUACCUCUUCGGCCUUCCCUAGCGUCAGACCACCACAAAGCUGCUGUCUGCUUCUAUGGGCUUCCUGUUCCAAUCACUCUUGUGAACAUGAUAUUCACUGUGUGGUCUUUGGUGGUUCUCUUUCAGCAUAAUGUUUUCAAGAUUGAUCUGUAUUGUAGCACAGUACUGCGCUGUCUCUUUAUGGCUGGCUAAUAUUCCAAUGUGCAGCUUCACUUUACUUUGACCUUUCCCUGGUUGGCUAUUUUGGCGGUUAUGAAUGAUACUGCAGUAAAGACACGUGAGACACGUGCUUAGCUCUGUGUGUGUACUUUCAGUUCUCUUGGUGAAAUUACAGGGUCUUACAGGAAACUGUUUUCCAAGGCAGCCACACCACUCUGCAGUCUCAUCAGAACAUCACAAGGGGCCAGCCUGGGUGAGGAUCCCAGGGGAGCUGUAAGGGAAGGUAACAGUGAUCUCACAACUGGACCUGUGCAGCAGCCCUUGGAAAACCAGGAAGCUAACAGACAUCUCUGGUCCUGAGUAGGCAACUGGUGAAUGGCCCAGCCAGGUAUGUGUGUUCCUGGUGCCUAGGGAAGACAAGGCCAGAAAGUAUUGGAUCUGCUGGAAGUGGAGUUAUAUAUGGUUGUGAGCCACCAUGUGAGUGGUGGGAACCAAACCCAGAACCUCGGCACGAACGGCCAGAGCUCUUCACCACCAAGCCUUCGAGCCAUCUCUCUAGCCCCUCUUAAACCUUUUUUAAGAUACCAAAAGCCCAACUGAUAUAUACAUAUGUAUAUGUACACACAUGUGUAUAUAUAUAUUGCUCGUUACUGCCCUCAAGAAGAGCACUCAGUUACACAGUUGCAUGUGGGGUGUAUGCCUGUGAUCCCAGAAUUUGGGAGAUGGAGGCAGGUGGAUAAGGAGUUUAAGAUCAUCCUCAGCAGCUAUCUGGCACCCUGGCCAGGUUGGGGUGCAUGAAGACCCCAAGUCAGCCAAAACAAGGAGGUAGAGUCACACUGAUCUCUUGUAAAUGACUUGUUCGCUUUGUAGCAAGUACUUUUGUAAGGCAGAGGAACCCUUCCUUCCUUCCCCAAAGGGACCUAGUUCAAGAAAGCAGAGCUUCUCACACAUGCCAGGAGAGUCCAAGGUCUCUUAAAGGGAGACAACACUGGCCAGAGCUCUGUAAGUUAAAUGAAGUCUGAGAUUUUGGAACCAGCAGAAAGAGACAUUCCUAGGUUGUAAGAAGGAGACAGUUCUGAGAGCAAAGGUCAUCCUCAGAGAGACUUUCUCAAAAGUCUUGCGAGAUCAGUGAGCAGUGGAGGAGGAAGUGAGAAGGUAAGAAGUGCGUGCUGUAUUCAACCCUACCACCCCGUGUCAGGGGGAGGUCAUUUUUCAGGGAAAAGGAAGCAGGUUAAUGCCCCUAAUUUAACAAACUCAUCAGAAAUGGGGUGGAGGUAGAGAGGACUGCUCACCCCUGGAGACCAGCUGGACUAGUCUCAGACUUCAGUGCCCUCCUUUCUUUGGA